Arabidopsis thaliana (thale cress) is the source of this 76-nucleotide small nuclear RNA. Lineage: Eukaryota; Viridiplantae; Streptophyta; Magnoliopsida; Brassicales; Brassicaceae. The record is from RefSeq.
GAAGGAGGUUCCAACAUGGGGUUCCCAUCUCUCCAAUGCGAAAGACCACUUGUUGAAGUGACAAGGUCUCUUGUUG